This is a non-coding RNA of Pelobates cultripes (western spadefoot toad), 311 nucleotides long. The record is from the annotation of a GenBank genome assembly. NCBI's taxonomy places the organism in Eukaryota, Metazoa, Chordata, Amphibia, Anura, Pelobatidae.
GCUCAUGUUUGGGGGAUUGGAGAGCUAUAUUCAUACUCUGGGGAUUGCUAUAAUCACUAUACUCCAUUGGAUCACAACACUUUCUCUUAUAAGUGCAGCCUGCUUCCCUCUCUGGACUAGGAGAGGUCUACCCACUGGAAGCUGGAUCCUGGUAUGGGUCCAUCACACUAAUUGCGCCCUAGAUACUGGUGAGAACAUAGUUUAGGAUUCACCCCACCACAUCACAUCACUGCAUAAAAUGAACAGCUUUCACCAGGUCUUGAAAAAUGAUCUUCCUAUGAUUAUUGAUCUGCAUCUGUCUUUAGUUUUCA